RNAcentral lists this long non-coding RNA (2343 nucleotides) under Homo sapiens (human). RNAcentral's name for it is "long non-coding RNA NONHSAT183482.1". Lineage: Eukaryota; Metazoa; Chordata; Mammalia; Primates; Hominidae. The record is from RNAcentral.
UUGGCCAUUGUCUCCUAGGUUUCUUAUAGUCUAGAAUAAAUCAUUUUUCAUUACAUUGACUUUUGACAGGCUGGACCAGAUGUCCUACCCUUUUGGAAUUGUCUAGUUAUUUAUUUGUAGUAUGACAUUUCUUUAUUUUAUUCCUGUAUGUACAUCAAACUUGAAGUUAGAUCUAAAGUGUCAGUCAAUUUAAGUGAAACAUUUUAUAUCUUAGGUAAUGUAUACUUCAUGUUGCAUCUUAUUAGAUGUUUUUAAAGCUUUAUAUAUAUAUAUAAGUUGAAUCUUGUUGACUUUCUCAAAAUCCUGAGGAAUCUGCAGUGCAUCAACAUCUCCACAGUAGGUACCAUAAAUGGUUAACAGUUUCUGUAAGGCAACUUUGCACUAGCCUAUUUUGAGCAUAGAACACAACUUUGAAGAUUAAAUCCCAUCCAGGGACUGAUUGGUAGAAGACAACUAGUCAGGGAACAUAGGAGGGAAAUACUUAAUUGCCAUAAAGUGGGUAGAUACCAGUCCACAAAUAAUUCUAAAUUAACUACGAAUAUGCUGUUUCAUGUUUGUAGACUCAUAGAUGUUUUGUGUUAUUAGUGGCUGUUCUGGAUUAUAAACUCCCAUGAGAGGUUAUUUUAAAAUCAGAAUUUUUAAUUUUUAAUAUUUAUCACUACUGCUUAUAUCCUCACUUUAACCUACCUAAUGCUGUUUCACUCAAAUGUCUUUUCUUUCUUCCCUGUAACAGUUGUGCAGAAGAUUCUGACCUUAUUUGAGGCUUACAUAUAGGUUUGGAGAUGUGGAAAGGAGUGGAAAAAGAAAUAUGUAAGCUGAAGUGCCAAACUCACACUGAAAUAAAGGGCAUGGCCUACCAGCUGACAAGGAGUGUCUGGUUUCAAGAUGGCAAAUGACCCUAAACAUGAUAGACAAAUACGUUUUACAUAGGUACAUGCACAGAUAGGCACAUAUAAAUCCACAUUUGCAAGCAAAAAGUGGAACCUGUAAAGCAGAAUUUCUGAGGAAUCUCUAAAAGACUAAUACUAUAUGGAAUUUGAAGAGGAAACCCAGAGCAGAAGCACAUAGUGAAGUACUGCCACAAAGAUGUGUGACGCCACUAAAGGUGCUCUAGACCCACAAGAAAGGAAAACUGGGAGCAGGACAACUAUCUGGAUAUUGACUGCACAUGCCAAUAUCUCAGUCAGACUAACAGAAUCAGAGCUUUAGGCAGAGAAAUGAAUGGUUGGAGAGAGAAGGCAAUGCCCAGGUGCCCUGCUUUGAAAUGUCCCGCCCAUCCCCAAAUUAGUCUGAAAAUUUCAAAUGUUGUAUAAAUUCCCUUCCCAUCAAAAGUGUCCCAUAAACAGCAGUGGUAGAAGAGUUUUAACUGAGUAUCACAGCUUCAAUGAUGAGUAUAGAAAACUCCAAAAAUCUGAAUACCAACACAAUCAAAAAAGAGGUACAAACCACAAGUGGAAGAACCAUCUCAAGAAAUAAUGAAGCAUUCAUGGAAUACAGAUUAGCAACUCUUUAAAACAGUAUUGCCAAGAGAAACAGGUGGCAUUGCAGUUGUCAGAUCUCAUUAAGGUCUUAUAUCUGAAACAGUUCCACUGUCUUCCAUAACUUUCAUAACUUUGAACAUUUUGGCUCGGGACAAAUUCCAACAAGUGAAAUCGCAUCAUUAAAAGGUAACUGCACAUAAUACUUAUAUUUUUCUGUAUUUCUUUAGGCUUUUCCCCCUAAGCAUAGAUAACUGUUCUUCAUCCUUGGUGCCUUCAUCUUUUUUCUCUUCUCAUAGGCGAAAGGGAAUUGCCUUAUUUCGAAUGAGACUUUGGACUGUGGACUUCUGAGUUGAUGCUGAAAUGAGUUAAGACUUUGGGGGACUGCUGGGAAGGCAUGAUUGGUUUUGAAAUGUGAGGACGUGAGAUUUGGGAGGGGUUGGGGUGGAAUGAUAUGGUUUGGCUGUGUCCUCACUCAAAUCUCAUCUUGAAUUCCCACAUGUUGUGGGAGGGAUCGGUGGGAGGUAAUUGACUCACGGGGCCAAGUCUUGCUGUUCUUGUGAUAGUGAAUAAGUCUCACAAGAUCUGAUGGUUUUAAAAAGAGGAGUUCCCCUGCACAAGUUCUCUCUCUUUGCCUACUGCCAUCUACGUUAAGACAUGACUUGCUCCUCCUUGCCUUCCACCAUGAUUGCAAGGUAUCCCCAGCCAUGUAGAACUGUAAGUCCAUUAAAUCCUUUUUCCUGUAUAAAUUACCCAGUUUCAGGUAUGUCUUUAUCAGCAGCAUGAAUAUGGACUAAUACAGAAAUUAAAAUGAUGCCUGACACAUAAUUGCUUAAUAAAUAUUAGCUAUUAUUAUUUGACAUUA